UAAUAAACUAAAACUUUCAACAACGGAUCUCUUGGUUCUGGCAUCGAUGAAGAACGCAGCGAAAUGCGAUAAGUAAUGUGAAUUGCAGAAUUCAGUGAAUCAUCGAAUCUUUGAACGCACAUUGCGCCCCUUGGUAUUCCGAGGGGCAUGCCUGUUCGAGCGUCAUUU
This 168-nucleotide ribosomal RNA is filed under the name Neofusicoccum luteum. Its description in RNAcentral is "5.8S ribosomal RNA". It matches the Rfam family "5.8S ribosomal RNA". From Rfam's summary of the family: 5.8S ribosomal RNA (5.8S rRNA) is a component of the large subunit of the eukaryotic ribosome. It is transcribed by RNA polymerase I as part of the 45S precursor that also contains 18S and 28S rRNA. Functionally, it is thought that 5.8S rRNA may be involved in ribosome translocation. Lineage: Eukaryota; Fungi; Ascomycota; Dothideomycetes; Botryosphaeriales; Botryosphaeriaceae. The record is from RNAcentral. RNAcentral also lists the same sequence under 2 other names.